GUGACUGCGUACCUUUUGUAUAAUGGGUCAGCGACUUAUAUUCUGUAGCAAGGUUAACCGUAUAGGGGAGCCGGAGGGAAACCGAGUCUUAAUUGGGCGUUAAGUUGCAGGGUAUAGACCCGAAACCCGGUGAUCUAGCCAUGGGCAGGUUGAAGGUUGGGUAACACUAACUGGAGGACCGAACCGACUAAUGUUGAAAAAUUAGCGGAUGACCUGUGGCUGGGGGUGAAAGGCCAAUCAAACCGGGAGAUAGCUGGUUCUCCCCGAAAGCUAUUUAGGUAGCGCCUCGUGAAUUCAUCUCCGGGGGUAGAGCACUGUUUCGGCUAGGGGGCCAUCCCGGCUUACCAACCCGAUGCAAACUGCGAAUACCGGAGAAUGUUAUCACGGGAGACACACGGCGGGUGCUAACGUCCGUCGUGAAGAGGGAAACAACCCAGACCGCCAGCUAAGGUCCCAAAGUCAUGGUUAAGUGGGAAACGAUGUGGGAAGGCCCAGACAGCCAGGAUGUUGGCUUAGAAGCAGCCAUCAUUUAAAGAAAGCGUAAUAGCUCACUGGUCGAGUCGGCCUGCGCGGAAGAUGUAACGGGGCUAAACCAUGCACCGAAGCUGCGGCAGCGACGCUGAUGCGUUGUUGGGUAGGGGAGCGUUCUGUAAGCCUGUGAAGGUGUGUCGUGAGGCAUGCUGGAGGUAUCAGAAGUGCGAAUGCUGACAUAAGUAACGAUAAAGCGGGUGAAAAGCCCGCUCGCCGGAAGACCAAGGGUUCCUGUCCAACGUUAAUCGGGGCAGGGUGAGUCGACCCCUAAGGCGAGGCCGAAAGGCGUAGUCGAUGGGAAACGGGUUAAUAUUCCCGUACUUGGUGUUACUGCGAAGGGGGGACGGAGAAGGCUAUGUUGGCCGGGCGACGGUUGUCCCGGUUUAAGCGUGUAGGUGUGUGUUCCAGGUAAAUCCGGUUCACUUUAACACUGAGGCGUGACGACGAGGCACUACGGUGCUGAAGCAACAAAUGCCCUGCUUCCAGGAAAAGCCUCUAAGCAUCAGGUAACACGAAAUCGUACCCCAAACCGACACAGGUGGUCAGGUAGAGAAUACCAAGGCGCUUGAGAGAACUCGGGUGAAGGAACUAGGCAAAAUGGUGCCGUAACUUCGGGAGAAGGCACGCUGACACGUAGGUGA
RNAcentral lists this ribosomal RNA (1172 nucleotides) under Salmonella enterica subsp. enterica serovar 4,[5],12:i:-. RNAcentral describes it as "bacterial LSU rRNA". It matches the Rfam family "Bacterial large subunit ribosomal RNA", at positions 593 to 1765 of the family's 2925-position model. Lineage: Bacteria; Pseudomonadati; Pseudomonadota; Gammaproteobacteria; Enterobacterales; Enterobacteriaceae. The record is from RNAcentral.